CUGCGGCAGCGACACUAUGUGUUGUUGGGUAGGGGAGCGUUCUGUAAGCCUGCGAAGGUGGCCUGUGAGGGUUGCUGGAGGUAUCAGAAGUGCGAAUGCUGACAUAAGUAACGAUAAAGCGGGUGAAAAGCCCGCUCGCCGGAAGACCAAGGGUUCCUGUCCAACGUUAAUCGGGGCAGGGUGAGUCGACCCCUAAGGCGAGGCCGAAAGGCGUAGUCGAUGGGAAACGGGUUAAUAUUCCCGUACUUGGUGUUACUGCGAAGGGGGGACGGAGAAGGCUAUGUUGGCCGGGCGACGGUUGUCCCGGUUUAAGCGUGUAGGUGUGUGUUCCAGGUAAAUCCGGUUCACUUUAACACUGAGGCGUGACGACGAGGCACUACGGUGCUGAAGCAACAAAUGCCCUGCUUCCAGGAAAAGCCUCUAAGCAUCAGGUAACAUCAAAUCGUACCCCAAACCGACACAGGUGGUCAGGUAGAGAAUACCAAGGCGCUUGAGAGAACUCGGGUGAAGGAACUAGGCAAAAUGGUGCCGUAACUUCGGGAGAAGGCACGCUGACACGUAGGUGAAGUGAUUUACUCACGGAGCUGAAGUCAGUCGAAGAUACCAGCUGGCUGCAACUGUUUAUUAAAAACACAGCACUGUGCAAACACGAAAGUGGACGUAUACGGUGUGACGCCUGCCCGGUGCCGGAAGGUUAAUUGAUGGGGUCAGCGCAAGCGAAGCUCCUGAUCGAAGCCCCGGUAAACGGCGGCCGUAACUAUAACGGUCCUAAGGUAGCGAAAUUCCUUGUCGGGUAAGUUCCGACCUGCACGAAUGGCGUAAUGAUGGCCAGGCUGUCUCCACCCGAGACUCAGUGAAAUUGAACUCGCUGUGAAGAUGCAGUGUACCCGCGGCAAGACGGAAAGACCCCGUGAACCUUUACUAUAGCUUGACACUGAACAUUGAGCCUUGAUGUGUAGGAUAGGUGGGAGGCUUUGAAGCGUGGACGCCAGUCUGCGUGGAGCCGACCUUGAAAUACCACCCUUUAAUGUUUGAUGUUCUAACGUGGACCCGUGAUCCGGGUUGCGGACAGUGUCUGGUGGGUAGUUUGACUGGGGCGGUCUCCUCCUAAAGAGUAACGGAGGAGCACGAAGGUUGGCUAAUCCUGGUCGGACAUCAGGAGGUUAGUGCAAUGGCAUAAGCCAGCUUGACUGCGAGCGUGACGGCGCGAGCAGGUGCGAAAGCAGGUCAUAGUGAUCCGGUGGUUCUGAAUGGAAGGGCCAUCGCUCAACGGAUAAAAGGUACUCCGGGGAUAACAGGCUGAUACCGCCCAAGAGUUCAUAUCGACGGCGGUGUUUGGCACCUCGAUGUCGGCUCAUCACAUCCUGGGGCUGAAGUAGGUCCCAAGGGUAUGGCUGUUCGCCAUUUAAAGUGGUACGCGAGCUGGGUUUAGAACGUCGUGAGACAGUUCGGUCCCUAUCUGCCGUGGGCGCUGGAGAACUGAGGGGGGCUGCUCCUAGUACGAGAGGACCGGAGUGGACGCAUCACUGGUGUUCGGGUUGUCAUGCCAAUGGCACUGCCCGGUAGCUAAAUGCGGAAGAGAUAAGUGCUGAAAGCAUCUAAGCACGAAACUUGCCCCGAGAUGAGUUCUCCCUGAGACUUUAGGUCUCCUGAAGGAACGUUGAAGACGACGACGUUGAUAGGCCGGGUGUGUAAGCGCAGCGAUGCGUUGAGCUAACCGGUACUAAUGAACCGUGAGGCUUAACCUUACA
This 1751-nucleotide ribosomal RNA is filed under the name Salmonella enterica. RNAcentral describes it as "partial 23S ribosomal RNA". It matches the Rfam family "Bacterial large subunit ribosomal RNA", at positions 1200 to 2925 of the family's 2925-position model. Lineage: Bacteria; Pseudomonadati; Pseudomonadota; Gammaproteobacteria; Enterobacterales; Enterobacteriaceae. The record is from RNAcentral.